Molecule: ribosomal RNA, 331 nt
Filed under: Pseudomonas fluorescens
Lineage: Bacteria; Pseudomonadati; Pseudomonadota; Gammaproteobacteria; Pseudomonadales; Pseudomonadaceae
Description: bacterial SSU rRNA
Rfam family: Bacterial small subunit ribosomal RNA
Source: RNAcentral
CCCCUGCAGUCGAGCGGAUGAAAGGAGCUUGCUCCUGGAUUCGCGGCGGACGGGUGAGUAAUGCCUAGGAAUCUGCCUGGUAGUGGGGGACAACGUUUCGAAAGGAACGCUAAUACCGCAUACGUCCUACGGGAGAAAGCAGGGGACCUUCGGGCCUUGCGCUAUCAGAUGAGCCUAGGUCGGAUUAGCUAGUUGGUGAGGUAAUGGCUCACCAAGGCGACGAUCCGUAACUGGUCUGAGAGGAUGAUCAGUCACACUGGAACUGAGACACGGUCCAGACUCCUACGGGAGGCAGCAGUGGGGAAUAUUGGACAAUGGGCGAAAGCCUGAU